AGGGAAUUUUCCACAAUGGACGAAAGUCUGAUGGAGCAACGCCGCGUGAGUGAUGAAGGUCUUCGGAUUGUAAAGCUCUGUCUUCUGGGACGAUAAUGACGGUACCAGAGGAGGAAGCCACGGCUAACUACGUGCCAGCAGCCGCGGUAAUACGUAGGUGGCAAGCGUUGUCCGAAUUUACUGGGCGUAAAGGAUGUGUAGGCGGAUAUUUAAGUGAGAUGUGAAAUCCCCGGGCUUAACUUGGGGGCUGCAUUUCAAACUGGAUGCCUAGAGUGCAGGAGAGGAAAGCAGAAUUCCUAGUGUAGCGGUGAAAUGCGUAGAGAUUAGGAAGAAUACCAGUGGCGAAGGCGGCUUUCUGGACUGUAACUGACGCUGAGGCAUGAAAGCGUGGGGAGCAAAC
RNAcentral lists this ribosomal RNA (400 nucleotides) under uncultured bacterium. Its description in RNAcentral is "bacterial SSU rRNA". It matches the Rfam family "Bacterial small subunit ribosomal RNA", at positions 356 to 773 of the family's 1533-position model. The record is from RNAcentral.